RNAcentral lists this ribosomal RNA (398 nucleotides) under Arthrobacter sp. R-22900. Its description in RNAcentral is "bacterial SSU rRNA". It matches the Rfam family "Bacterial small subunit ribosomal RNA", at positions 28 to 426 of the family's 1533-position model. Lineage: Bacteria; Bacillati; Actinomycetota; Actinomycetes; Micrococcales; Micrococcaceae. The record is from RNAcentral.
GAUGAACGCUGGCGGCGUGCUUAACACAUGCAAGUCGAACGAUGACCCCCAGCUUGCUGGGGUGAUUAGUGGCGAACGGGUGAGUAACACGUGAGUAACCUGCCCCCGACUCUGGGAUAAGCCCGGGAAACUGGGUCUAAUACUGGAUAUGACCUUUGACCGCAUGGUCUUUGGUGGAAAGAUUUAUCGGUUGGGGAUGGACUCGCGGCCUAUCAGCUUGUUGGUGAGGUAAUGGCUCACCAAGGCGACGACGGGUAGCCGGCCUGAGAGGGUGACCGGCCACACUGGGACUGAGACACGGCCCAGACUCCUACGGGAGGCAGCAGUGGGGAAUAUUGCACAAUGGGCGAAAGCCUGAUGCAGCGACGCCGCGUGAGGGAUGACGGCCUUCGGGUUGU